Molecule: unclassified non-coding RNA, 322 nt
Filed under: Hevea brasiliensis (rubber tree)
Lineage: Eukaryota; Viridiplantae; Streptophyta; Magnoliopsida; Malpighiales; Euphorbiaceae
Source: RNAcentral
ACAAAAAAUUAAUGUAUUUAUGGCGGAGAUUGAGGGUCUUAAAGGGCUUCUAUCAACUUCACAGAAGAAGUGCUUGGAAGCAGAGAAAAAGGCCAAAGCAUCCAAAGAACUUCGAGAAAGAGAUGAUACGCUACUCAAAUUAGAGGAGGAGAAUAGCAAGCUUGAAGAUCAACUAAAAUGGAAGAAAGAACAAUUCAAACAUCUAGAAGAAGCACAUGAGAAGCUCCGAAAUCAGCUCAGGGAAAGCAAGAAAGAGUGGGAGCUGGAGAAGUCUGCACUAAUUGAUCAGAUUUGUUCCCUGCAGACAAGCUUAGAUUCUCAG